UGGGGAAUAUUGGACAAUGGGCGCAAGCCUGAUCCAGCCAUGCCGCGUGUGUGAAGAAGGCCUUUUGGUUGUAAAGCACUUUAAGCGAGGAGGAGGCUACUUGGAUUAAUACUCUAGGAUAGUGGACGUUACUCGCAGAAUAAGCACCGGCUAACUCUGUGCCAGCAGCCGCGGUAAUACAGAGGGUGCGAGCGUUAAUCGGAUUUACUGGGCGUAAAGCGUGCGUAGGCGGCUUCUUAAGUCGGAUGUGAAAUCCCUGUGCUUAACUUAGGAAUUGCAUUCGAUACUGGGAAGCUAGAGUAUGGGAGAGGAUGGUAGAAUUCCAGGUGUAGCGGUGAAAUGCGUAGAGAUCUGGAGGAAUACCGAUGGCGAAGGCAGCCAUCUGGCCUAAUACUGACGCUGAGGUACGAAAGCAUGGGGAGCAAACAGG
Molecule: ribosomal RNA, 430 nt
Filed under: bacterium
Lineage: Bacteria
Description: partial 16S ribosomal RNA
Rfam family: Bacterial small subunit ribosomal RNA
Source: RNAcentral